GCCUUCGUGGUGUAGUGGUCAGCACGCUCGGCGCGUAUUCGAGAGGUCCAUGGUUCGAGUCCCGGCGAGGGUA
RNAcentral lists this transfer RNA (73 nucleotides) under Stegodyphus mimosarum. It matches the Rfam family "tRNA". Rfam says of the family: Transfer RNA (tRNA) molecules are approximately 80 nucleotides in length. Their secondary structure includes four short double-helical elements and three loops (D, anti-codon, and T loops). The record is from Rfam by way of RNAcentral. Lineage: Eukaryota; Metazoa; Arthropoda; Arachnida; Araneae; Eresidae.